Molecule: transfer RNA, 76 nt
Filed under: Dehalococcoidia bacterium
Lineage: Bacteria; Bacillati; Chloroflexota; Dehalococcoidia
Also listed under: 1 other name
Description: tRNA-Pro
Rfam family: tRNA
About the family: Transfer RNA (tRNA) molecules are approximately 80 nucleotides in length.
Source: RNAcentral
CGGGGUGUGGCGCAGUGGUUAGCGCGCAUGGUUUGGGACCAUGAGGCCGCCGGUUCAAAUCCGGCCACCCCGACCA